Phymastichus coffea is the source of this 1022-nucleotide long non-coding RNA. RefSeq lists it as uncharacterized. The record is from RefSeq and is a predicted model, not a curated record. The transcript has 4 exons. NCBI's taxonomy places the organism in Eukaryota, Metazoa, Arthropoda, Insecta, Hymenoptera, Eulophidae.
UAAGGAAGACGUUCAAUUCUACUGACGUUAUUCUAUUCCAAUUUCAAUAUAAGGAAACCUAGCAUAACUGAAAUGCAGUCGAAAACUAUUCUAUUAUUAUUUGUCAUGGUGACCGUUGUGACGGCUGUCAGUGUACCUCAGAGGUGUACUAAAAACUCCCAAUGCUAUUCAGGCUGUUGUUAUCUAGAUACUUGUCAGGAAGAUAUCGGUUAUUGUCCGUGCAACGUGAAGAAGUGUCCAAGGAAUCAGAUUUGCAGGUUCCAAAUAAUACAAUGUUUUGUACCACCAUGUUACCCGCUUGCUCAAUGUCAGUGAAUAGUAUAAAUUAUAAACUGUAAGGCCCACAUGUAUUUGGUUUGAAAACCAAAUAUCAUUACCGUACAAUUAUAUUGAUUGUAAAACAUAAACAAUAUGAUACUACGUAUAAUAUAUAUUUUUUCUGGCAUAGAAUUCUCAUACUGUUAGAAUAAAUAUUAGUUUUUAUUAGAAAUAGACGAUGGUUUUAUAUGCCGAUGUGUUUUUAUCUAAUUUUAUAGGAUUUACGCUAAUAUUAUCCUGAAAGCUGUACGUUUAUCUUUAGUUACAUAAUAUUUUUUGGAGGUGUUCUAUCGACUUUUAUUAUUAAGACUAUGUUAUUACAAUUUACUCAAAAUGCAUAUAGACCUCAUAUUAUUUACGCAAGUGACAUCACAAUAUUACACAUACUAUGUUGAGAAACAAAAUUUUCCUUGUAUUCGAAGCAAACACAAAAGUAUCAUUGUGUAUUUUCCGAUUGAAACGGUACAAUUUGGGUCAAUGCCACUUUUCCACAUAUUGCAAUCUUAUACGCUUGAUGAAUCUUAUAACAUUUGUUAAUAACAGUAUAGUAGUGUCAUAUUAAAUACUACAUUAUUUUUUUAUAUUAUUAAAAUUGAUAAUAUUCAUAAAUUUUAAUCAAUUUUGAUAAUUGGAAUUCCAACGCGUAAGCAAAAGUAAAAUUAUGAAUAAUCACUGCCAAAUAAUUAACUAAUAUACUUGUUGAC